This 480-nucleotide ribosomal RNA is filed under the name uncultured bacterium. Its description in RNAcentral is "bacterial SSU rRNA". It matches the Rfam family "Bacterial small subunit ribosomal RNA", at positions 31 to 507 of the family's 1533-position model. The record is from RNAcentral.
AUAGAACGCUAGCGGCGACGGCUAACACAUGCAAGUACGAGGGGUAAGGGUAGCAAUAUCUGAGACCGGCGGCACGGGUGCGUAACGCGUAUGCAAUCUACCUUUCACAGAGGGAUAGCCCAGAGAAAUUUGGAUUAAUACCUCAUAGUAUAAUGAUUUGGCAUCAAGACAUUAUUAAAGUCACAACGGUGAAAGAUGAGCAUGCGUCCCAUUAGCUAGUUGGUAUGGUAACGGCAUACCAAGGCGACGAUGGGUAGGGGUCCUGAGAGGGAGAUCCCCCACACUGGUACUGAGACACGGACCAGACUCCUACGGGAGGCAGCAGUGAGGAAUAUUGGACAAUGGGCGCAAGCCUGAUCCAGCCGUGCCGCGUGCAGGAUGACGGUCCUAUGGAUUGUAAACUGCUUUUGCACAGGAAGAAACAACGCUACGUGUAGCGUCUUGACGGUACUGUGAGAAUAAGGAUCGGCUAACUCCGUG